UACAGAGGGUGCGAGCGUUAAUCGGAAUUACUGGGCGUAAAGCGUGCGUAGACGGUUAUCUAAGUCGGAUGUGAAAGCCCCGGGCUCAACCUGGGAAUUGCAUUCGAGACUGAAUAGCUAGGGUGCGGUAGAGGGAAGCGGAAUUUCCGGUGCAGCGGUGAAAUGCGUAGAUAUCGGAAGGAACAUCAGUGGCGAAAGCGGCUUCCUGGACCAGCACCGACGUUCAGGCACGAAAGCGUGGGGAGCAAACAGG
Molecule: ribosomal RNA, 253 nt
Filed under: uncultured bacterium
Lineage: Bacteria
Description: partial 16S ribosomal RNA
Rfam family: Bacterial small subunit ribosomal RNA
Source: RNAcentral